AACGCGAAGAACCUUACCAGGUCUUGACAUCCUCUGACAAUCCCAGAGAUAGGACGUCCCCUUCGGGGGCAGAGUGACAGGUGGUGCAUGGUUGUCGUCAGCUCGUGUCGUGAGAUGUUGGGUUAAGUCCCGCAACGAGCGCAACCCUUGAUCUUAGUUGCCAGCAUUCAGUUGGGCACUCUAAGGUGACUGCCGGUGACAAACCGGAGGAAGGUGGGGAUGACGUCAAAUCAUCAUGCCCCUUAUGACCUGGGCUACACACGUGCUACAAUGGACAGAACAAAGGGCAGCGAAACCGCGAGGUUAAGCCAAUCCCACAAAUCUGUUCUCAGUUCGGAUCGCAGUCUGCAACUCGACUGCGUGAAGCUGGAAUCGCUAGUAAUCGCGGAUCAGCAUGCCGCGGUGAAUACGUUCCCGGGCCUUGUACACACCG
RNAcentral lists this ribosomal RNA (433 nucleotides) under uncultured bacterium. RNAcentral describes it as "bacterial SSU rRNA". It matches the Rfam family "Bacterial small subunit ribosomal RNA", at positions 958 to 1392 of the family's 1533-position model. The record is from RNAcentral.